This 301-nucleotide ribosomal RNA is filed under the name uncultured bacterium. RNAcentral describes it as "partial 16S ribosomal RNA". It matches the Rfam family "Bacterial small subunit ribosomal RNA", at positions 509 to 807 of the family's 1533-position model. The record is from RNAcentral.
CAGCCGCCGCGGUAAAACGGAGGGGGCUAGCGUUGUUCGGAAUUACUGGGCGUAAAGCGCACGUAGGCGGCUUGGUAAGUUAGAGGUGAAAGCCUGGAGCUCAACUCCAGAAUUGCCUUUAAGACUGCCGAGCUAGCAGGUGAGAGAGGUAAGUGGAAUUCCGAGUGUAGAGGUGAAAUUCGUAGAUAUUCGGAAGAACACCAGUGGCGAAGGCGGCUUACUGGCUCAUACUGGACGCUGAGGUGCGAAAGCGUGGGGAGCAAACAGGAUUAGAGACCCCAGUAGUCCCUGUCUCUUAUAC